UCCAGACUCCUACGGGAGGCAGCAGUGGGGAAUAUUGCACAAUGGGGGAAACCCUGAUGCAGCAACGCCGCGUGAAGGAAGACGGUUUUCGGAUUGUAAACUUCUAUCAAUAGGGAAGAAAGAAAUGACGGUACCUGAGUAAGAAGCCCCGGCUAACUACGUGCCAGCAGCCGCGGUAAUACGUAGGGGGCAAGCGUUAUCCGGAAUUACUGGGUGUAAAGGGAGCGUAGACGGCGAGGUAAGCCUGAAGUGGAAGCCCGCGGCCCAACCGCGGAACUGCUUUGGGAACUGUUUUGCUGGAGUAUGGGAGGGGUAAGCGGAAUUCCUGGUGUAGCGGUGAAAUGCGUAGAUAUCAGGAGGAACACCGGUGGCGAAGGCGGCUUACUGGACCAUAACUGACGUUGAGGCUCGAAAGCGUGGGGAGCGAACAGGAUUAGAUACCCGAGUAAUA
This 451-nucleotide ribosomal RNA is filed under the name uncultured bacterium. Its description in RNAcentral is "bacterial SSU rRNA". It matches the Rfam family "Bacterial small subunit ribosomal RNA", at positions 330 to 795 of the family's 1533-position model. The record is from RNAcentral.